This 487-nucleotide ribosomal RNA is filed under the name uncultured bacterium. Its description in RNAcentral is "bacterial SSU rRNA". It matches the Rfam family "Bacterial small subunit ribosomal RNA", at positions 28 to 524 of the family's 1533-position model. The record is from RNAcentral.
GACGAACGCUGGCGGCGUGCUUAACACAUGCAAGUCGAACGAGGUCCACCGCGUAGCAAUACAAGGGAAGACCUAGUGGCGAACGGGUGCGUAACACGUGAGGAACUUGUCCCGGUCUCUGGGAUAACAGUUGGAAACGACUGCUAAUACCGGAUGACGUCGGAGCAUCGCAUGGUGCGCUGACGAAAGGGUUACUGGAUCGGGAGAGCCUCGCGGCCUAUCAGCUUGUUGGUGGGGUAACGGCCUACCAAGGCAUCGACGGGUAGCUGGUCUGAGAGGAUGAUCAGCCACACUGGGACUGAGACACGGCCCAGACUCCUACGGGAGGCAGCAGUGGGGGAAUCUUGCGCAAUGGGCGAAAGCCUGACGCAGCAACGCCGCGUGCGGGAAGAAGGCCCUCGGGUUGUAAACCGCUUUCAGCAGGAACGAAAAUGACGGUACUUGCAGAAGAAGGUGCGGCCAACCACGUGCCAGCAGCCGCGGUAAU